Long non-coding RNA from Erigeron canadensis, 1585 nucleotides. RefSeq lists it as uncharacterized. The record is from RefSeq and is a predicted model, not a curated record. The transcript is spliced from 2 exons. Lineage: Eukaryota; Viridiplantae; Streptophyta; Magnoliopsida; Asterales; Asteraceae.
AAUACCCAACCUCUAUCAUAAUAUAUAUGUGUUGUGUGUAAUUUCAUCACUUAUAAUUCUAUAUGUUAAAUGAAUAUUGACUUUGUCAUUUACAUAAUGUUCACGUUUUCUUCAAUUAGAAAAUACAAAUAUGAGCGAAGAUCCUAAUACAAGGAAUCUAUAAAAAAGAAAAAAAAUUUUAACCAUCUACAUGUUAACACAUAUAAUUGAGACAUAUAAUUGAGUUGAUAUGUCUGAUGGACCAUAAAGAUAAUCACUUUGACGACAACGACAACGGUACCUAAUCCCGGUAUAAGCUGGGGUACGGGGGAGAUAUGAUGUAGACAGACCUUACACCUACUCAAUGGUAGAGAGACUGCUUUCAGAUCCACCGAAGUGAAAGGGACCUCCAGCCCAAAAGUGAAAAAUAGGGUUAGAUCCACCGGAGUGGAAGCCUUAACCGGAUGGGGAUAAUAUCAAUAUUAAACUCUCAAUCUCAAGCUCAAUCACAAUUUCCAGGAUAAACUCAGAUCUCAGAACUAAAAUGUUACCGUUAGAGGAGGAGAGAGAGGGAGAGACAGAGAACCCUCCUAAAAGUGUUUCAAAAAGAUAAUCACUUUAUUACCCCAAAACCCGUAAUAAAAACUCAUUUUAACAUUCCAUAUACCGUGAGGUUAAAUCUGCAAAAGACGAAUUUUGUUUUCCCUUUCUUUUAGCUUCCAAUUAGAAUAAGUGGCCUGUUACUAAGGAGGGUCCAACCCGGGAUAAAAUUAUAUGCACAGUAAUCCCAAACACUCGCUAUAAUGUAUAAUCAUUGAUACCUGGUUGCAAAAUUUGUUAGAGAUUUUAAGCCGAAUAAAUUGUCUUUCGUCAUCGUCUUCAUCAUCAUAAUCAUGGUAUCUGUUUCUGAUCAAACUUCCCCUCGCAAGUUUAGAUUGGCCAUUUAUUCAUAUAUGUUUGAACUUGAAAUUGAAAUAUGGUUAAAUAUAAAGUAUUAAGACACCAUCCGAUACACCGAUGCCUAAUUUUCCGCAUUUGAAGCACUUGGAGGUCAAUGCCAGAUUUUGUUGGGAGAGUUUGGAUUGGCCAUUUAUUCAUCAAAUACUAGAAAACUCUCCUGGGUUGGAGCAUUUAUGUAUUAUAAUGCGUUCCUACGAUCAAACAGAUUAUUACUGGAUUGAGCCGCAGUCAGUUCCGACUUGUAUGCUAAACAACCUAAGAACAAUGAAGUUUGCAAAUUUCAGAGGGCAGAAAUCCUGUCUACCAUUUUUGGCAUACUUGUUGGGGAAUGCAAAGGUUUUGACGAUGCUAACAAUCAAGUUUGAUAGCCGCCUACCCUUGGAGGAAAAAAUGCAGUUGAGUGCAGAGUUGUUGAAGAUUCCAAGGGCAUCCAGGUACUGCAAGAUUCAUUUCCUUGGAAGUCGAUCUCUUUCCACCACCGGUUAGUUUUGUAAGGAGGAAUUUAUCAAGAUUAUGUAAUGAACCUGGUUGUGUGGUUUGAUUUACAUGUGUGGAUUGGGUUGACCAAAAAGUAUUUGGGUGUGAGUCCAUACCUAAUAUUUCAGAAAUAUUUAAGGUUAAAGAAUCUAGAUUUGUUUUGUUGUAA